CGGGAUGUAGCUCAGUUUGGCUAGAGCGCACGGUUCGGGACCGUGAGGCCGCUGGUUCAAAUCCAGUCAUCCCGACCA
Molecule: transfer RNA, 78 nt
Filed under: Syntrophaceticus schinkii
Lineage: Bacteria; Bacillati; Bacillota; Clostridia; Thermoanaerobacterales; Thermoanaerobacterales Family III. Incertae Sedis
Also listed under: 1 other name
Description: tRNA-Pro
Rfam family: tRNA
About the family: Transfer RNA (tRNA) molecules are approximately 80 nucleotides in length. Their secondary structure includes four short double-helical elements and three loops (D, anti-codon, and T loops). Further hydrogen bonds mediate the characteristic L-shaped molecular structure. tRNAs have two regions of fundamental functional importance: the anti-codon, which is responsible for specific mRNA codon recognition, and the 3' end, to which the tRNAs corresponding amino acid is attached (by aminoacyl-tRNA synthetases). tRNAs cope with the degeneracy of the genetic code in two manners: having more than one tRNA (with a specific anti-codon) for a particular amino acid; and 'wobble' base-pairing, i.e. permitting non-standard base-pairing at the 3rd anti-codon position.
Source: RNAcentral